RNAcentral lists this long non-coding RNA (13346 nucleotides) under Triticum aestivum (bread wheat). Its description in RNAcentral is "long non-coding RNA (TAES_LNC019653)". Lineage: Eukaryota; Viridiplantae; Streptophyta; Magnoliopsida; Poales; Poaceae. The record is from RNAcentral.
ACUGUGAUGUUCAAAAUUUACAGUAAACACUCCACUCCACUGAAUAUUACUGAAACUUAAUAGAAUUUAACUAAGCUUUUUCAGUUUCAGAAUAUGAAAGUCAGAAAAUAAGCUUGCAAGCAAGUUUAUGUAAGUAAUGCACACUGGAGUACAAUACUUCUACGAAUUUCUGCAAAUAAUUCAUGAUUUUCUAACUACUCCAAGAUGUCCAGUUAAUUAACUGGAAAAGUAACUAAACUUGCAAAUUGAGAAAAUCUUGUCAGACCACUUGCAAUAUCUUCGGUGACAGUACAUGUUCAGAACAAACACUUACAAUAUCUACUGCAAGAACUUGUUUACUCCUGCAUAUUUGCUUGCAUGUUCAGAAUCUGCAAAUAUUCAGAAGCAUGUUCAGAAUACUUACUGAAAAGUACUGUUAAAUGUUGAAAAGUUAAAUCAUGUUCAAUCUUGUUAAAUACUCCAAGAAAAAUUACUCCGCACAAAUACAGUUCAAUCUUGUUAAAUACUCUAAGCAAAAUUACUGGAGUACUGGAGUAGUACAAUUUAAAUGUAAUCCAAGCAAAUUGAGAAGUUAACAGUACUGCUGCUAACUUGGAGUAGCUUUGACUAUGUACAGAGCAAGAUGGAGGGUCUAGCUUACUGCUGCUACUCCACAUAUCUAAUUUUACUUAACAGAGCAAGAUGGAGUAACCCAAAAAAAUUAACAGAGCAAGCAAAUGUACUCUAAAUGGCAGUUCACCAGAGAUUUUCAAGUUAAAAAUACUCCCAGGGGUAAACAACAAUGACAUGGACGAAGUACAGGAUGGAUGUUAUAAAUUAAUCCAGUAAUUCUUUUUUGUUCUCAUCUUUUUCACCCUCUAAACACUGCCUAGAGCGCUUACAAGAUGACAAAGUUAAUUUUGCAUAACACAUAUGGAUUCUUAUCUUCUUCGGUAAGGGGGGCACAUUUACAGCUAAUCUAUUAUAUUAUUAAAAAGUAACCAUGUAUAGAUGUCUCCAUACCCCAUAUGAUUUCUAGACUGCCAUGCAAAGCAAUGAGUUGAGUCCAAUUCCUACACGGCAAUGUACCUGUAAAAAAAAGAAAACUACGCCUAUCUAUGACAUACGUUCCCAAACAGCCUACCAAAGCGAGGCAAACAAGCUGUGGAUCCUAAUUAUAAUGGCCGAGAACUAACAAAAUUUUCUCACGUAAUAUGUGAAACACGCACAUAUUCGUUUGCACAUCCAAAGUGUGUCACGUACUGGAGAUGCCUCUGACCGAGAAGUGCAAGUUAGAAUCACGUAUGGAAGGACACUUCCAUCAGCAUGUUUGCUAUUCAAAAAAAAUCAUCACGCUUGUUGUACUGACACACAAUCAGUUUCCAAUUAUAUCUCAAAACCAAUCAACACAAGCUAGCCACGCUACACAUCCCAGCUAAUUGCAACUUGGCGUUGUAAGCAAUAAUCGGCAAGCCUUUGCUCUGCCUCAGGCCUCAGUCGACAGAACAAAACAAGGCAGGAGAUACUGCAGAAAGCAAAGCUGCCUUGCGGUUUUAAACAAAUUACUAUCACGAACAGGAUGGAGUCGCCUCAAAACAGAUGCCAUUAUUGGCACACUGAUUAAUAAGAAUGGAAGCAGCAGGUGGAGAAAUCAAUUUUUGUAACUUGUUUCUCCUAACUUGCAAUACUGCAAUAUGGCAUCAUGUCAACUAUUUACAUAAAUGAAAGAGAAAUAGACAGAUUAUGCAGCUACCCUACUAAUGUGCAGGAAAGAAGUGGUGACUGAAUAAUGUGUUGCACUACACAUGCUAGUUUGCAGAACAGUCCCACGCCUAUUACAUUACUAGAGCAAGUUCAUUACUAGAGCCUCUGCUUGGAGAUAAAAAAAUGAGCAGAUUGUAAUGUAUUUGAAUCAAGAUCCUUUCAGAAACUAGCUAGUAUGAAGAGGAAAAUCAAGCAAAACUGUCACAGGUCUUGAGCGCUUCAGAUCCUAGUGGCUGGCUACUUUAACAGUAUUUAUUACAAGUAAAAAAACACAGCAGAAAUCCUAGACAGUGAAGAACAUAUUCAGCACGCACGCUGAUUAAUCACUUGACACACAAUGCAAUGCAAUGCAACGCAAGCAGCAGGUAGCUAGAAGUUAACAAGACAAUAAAUAAAUCCUUGACAGUGGAGAACGUAUUCAGCACGCACGCUCGCUGAUUAAUCACUUAUGCAAAAUGAAUAGAUAUCCCCUUUCUCCAUGGAGAGGGCGGACCCGAGAGCUUGGAAUAGAUCCCUGAUUGAAUGAACAACGCAAUACAGAGCCAGGGCAGGGAGCUGGAGACAAACGGUGUAGCGACCCGACCCGAAUGGAUCAAGUCUCUGUGCUUAAGUGUCAUCCCUGGAUCGGUAUGCUGACACACACAGUACUCGAGGAUUUAUAACAGAGGUAAAUCACAUGUAUAAAGUAACGUAAAUACUAUUACCUCAAUCCAAAUAGCGGAAGUAACAAGGUUGUGGAUUCCCAUCAACACCAACGGCAAAGUUGAGUGUAGAAAUCGUAACCCUAGCGAAUCACUUACUCGUCGUAAGAUAUCCUGCAACAUGAAACGUUGCAGCCCGAAAACGGGUCAGUACAUUGAAUGUACUGGCAAAUUCACGCCAUAGAGAAAUGAUGAACAAAGGCUAUCACUACAUGCAUAUAUGGCUGGUGGAAAAGCUCUAUGGUUAUAAUGUUUUUGCGAAAAGCCAGUUUUUCCCUACUGCAAAGGAAUAAAUUUUAUUUAACUAUCAUGGUGGUUGUGAAACAUUGAGAUGGUUGACAGCAUCUCUAUCCCAAUUAAGUAUCAUCAUUAACCCAACAAUAUUAAUUAAAGUAACAUGAUGAGAUCAACGGGAUAAUCCAAGAACUAGAUACUCAAGAUGUCCAUAACCGGGGACACGGCUAAUCAUGAUUAGUUUAUACACUCUGCAGAGGUUUGUGCACUUUUCCCCACAAGACUCGAUCUCCUCCGUUGGAUUUCUCGCACUACAAGGUGUUUGAGAAACAGAUGACCGAGACACAGUCUUUCAGAAGCGUUAGCACCUUACGAUGGGUAGACCGGUACACCUACAGCCCCUACAUCUGCUAGUCUACCACUGUAAGAGUUCACACGACUUAAUCAACUAUGCUAGAGCCCAUAAUAGCUUGUGGCUGCACACGGAAGUUUCUAGCAUGAAUAAUCUCAUGAUCCCUUUGAACCUGGGUGGCGGUCCAAAAGAAAAACAGACAAUCCUGGAAUACCCAGGUACCUCAAUCCACCCAGAUGUGUGUUUAAGUUGCCACCUUAAGUAAACCAUUAAAUUAACAAUCUCACAUCUGUCAUGGAAAAUUCACUCAAACCCAAUCCACGUCUACGAGCAUAGCAUAGCAAUAUAAGAAAACGUAGAAGUAACUCCCAAGGGUUUGAUAGUAAACAGGGCAAUAGCUACUACCUCAUAUACUACUUCCCAAUACCCACAUGUUAUCAAUCCUACUCAUGCAAUGUUUGAGGGUUGAAUCUAAUGCAUAAAAACUGGGUAUGAAAGGGGUAUGAUCAAAGUGUGAACUUGCCUGCAAUGUUGAUGAAGAUGAUUCGCACUCAAAACUCUUGAUAGAUCUACUCGUCACACUGCAGUCAAUCUAUCGUAAGCAAGCAAUAGUAACCACACAUAAGCAAUCACUCAAAAGGUCGAAAAGAGCGAAGAGGAUAGUUCGAAAAACAUCAAACAAAGCAAAUAACUCUUGCGACAUAAAAAAAUUUCCAAAAGUACCAAAAUUAUGUAAAUUUGGCCUUAUCAGAAAGUUUAGGUCAAGGGCUUCGAAUUGCAAAAAGAAUCAACUCAAACGGAGUUAUAAAACUCAAGUUAUGAUCAAAAGAAGAUUCAAAUUCAAAUCUGUUUGAAAGCAAAUUUUAAAUUUUCAAAAACAUGUUUAAGUUGUUUUACCGGAUAGAGUGGAUCAUAACGAAGACGUGGGCGUUGGUUUCGUUGGAUUUGGACAAACGAGUAAAAAGAUGUGAAGGUUUGAAGUCCAGGGGCUAAAUUGUAAAUAAAACAUCUACAAAGAAGUCCCUGAAUAAAACUAACAGAAAAAAAAUAAAAGAACUAAAUAACGAACGUUCGCUACCGAACGCUAACGAACGAAAACGUUCGUCGAAACUAUCUAAACAGAAAACGUUCGCUAAAUAAUAAACCAAAACAAAAUCUAGGGUUUUUUUUAAACCGAAAAAUAAACCGAAUCGUACAGGGGCGGUUUUAUACCGUCGGUGGUUCGGCGGUUUUUGGCGACAAAACCGGCAGCGGUGUUGAUUCCGGCGACGGUUGACGAGUGCGGCGGGCUCCGGCGCGGCAGCAGGUAGCAGCGGCGGUUCCAGGCGCGGGCGGCGGCGGCAGCUNNNNNNNNNNNNNNNNNNNNNNNNNNNNNNNNNNNNNNNNNNNNNNNNNNNNNNNNNNNNNNNNNNNNNNNNNNNNNNNNNNNNNNNNNNNNNNNNNNNNNNNNNNNNNNNNNNNNNNNNNNNNNNNNNNNNNNNNNNNNNNNNNNNNNNNNNNNNNNNNNNNNNNNNNNNNNNNNNNNNNNNNNNNNNNNNNNNNNNNNNNNNNNNNNNNNNNNNNNNNNNNNNNNNNNNNNNNNNNNNNNNNNNNNNNNNNNNNNNNNNNNNNNNNNNNNNNNNNNNNNNNNNNNNNNNNNNNNNNNNNNNNNNNNNNNNNNNNNNNNNNNNNNNNNNNNNNNNNNNNNNNNNNNNNNNNGGUGGCGGAUCUCGUCGGUGGCGGCGGCGGUUGGCGAGUGCGGCGGCGGCGGCGCGGCGAUCUGCGGCAGCGGCGCGGCAGGGGAGGAGGAGAGGAGGGGCGGCGGGGCUGCGGCUUUAUAGGAGGGCGGGGCGGGCUCCGAGGCGUGGAGGAGGGGUUGGAGGAGGAGUCCUCCUCGACCACGGCGGCGGCGGCGACGUACGCCGGCUGGAGUGCGAGCGGAGCUCGGGGACGAGCGCGAGCGCGCUGGGCUGGGCUGGCUUGGCCCGGUUGGCUGGGCCGGCCCAGUUCGGCGGUUUCCUUUUGUUUUUUUUAAACAGAGGGAAAAAAACGAAAAUAAAAUAAAAUAUUAUAUAGGCAUAUAAUAUAUCAAAAUCUUCAGAAAAAGAUUUUCUACAACGUGAACAUUUUUCCAACGCCAAAUAAAAUCCACACAAAUUUUAAUAAAUCAAACAGUGCUACUGCCUUAAUAAAAUCCAAUAAAAAUCAUUUUAAAAAAUACCAAAAUGAUUUCAAAUUUAUUUUUCUCCAAUUUUCUGAUGUAGGGAAUCAUGUUACCCUAUUUUCUGUAUAUUUUAUUUUUUGGAGAAAAAUAAUUUGAAUAAAACUCAAAUAAGUCCAAUAUUGGAAAAUAAUUUCAAUGGGACUUUGAAUUUAAUCCUUUGAAACUCCCAACUCCUAUUUCAUAUGUUUUGAAGAAGUCAUUUUAUCUUCUCUCGUGAAAAUCAUUGAGUUGCAUAAAGUUUCAGAAAUGGAAAAAUAUUUUCAAUUGAAAUUCAAAUAUUUUGAACACCCCCUUUCAUUUAAAUAAAUGGAAGAAGUCAUGUCAUCUUCUCUCGAGGGUUUUGUGAUGAAAAGAAUUUGAAUUCAUGGGAAUCAUAAAAGUAUAAUGAAAGUUUGGGAAGUCCUUUUAUUCCCUCUCAUUUAACUUUCAAAAGAUUUCGAAUUCCACUCACUUUCAGUCAAUCAAUCAAACAAUCAAUCCAAUCUAUCUGUUUAUUAUAACAUUCCAAAAUUUAGAAUUUUGGGAUGUUACAAACCUACCACCCUUAAAAUGAAUCUCGUCCUCUAGAUUCGGAGAGGCUAGAAAGAAAGAGGUUAGGGUUUGGGGUCUUCUCAAAAUCCAUUGAUCAUCACAGGGGGUCUGGGGUGCUACCACCCUUAGAAACAUUGUUACGGUUCCACCAAAACUCGUAUACUCCAUCCUUGUUGUUGACAGUGUCAGUCUUCUCAGAUUCUCGGAAAAAUUCCUUCUCUGGCUCUUUGGGUAGCGGCAUAACCUUUUCCUCAAUUCUUCUGUCUUUCAUCUUAGUAAGGUUAUUCCGAGACUAGGUCUUCACAGCUGACGGGUCUGGCGCCAAUAGUAAACAACUAUCGACAUCUCAUGGUGGUCAACAAUUUACGGUUUCUCCUGCAGGAAAAUGGGUCUGGUUGAUCUUCACCGUAUAACCUACGAUUGGCAUCAACUACCGUGUACAAGGGAAACAUUCUUAUACCAUUCUAAGGUUCAAACAAGGUUUAAAUCGUCGUCACUCUACUAUAGGUAAGUCACUCAGAUUUACCAUCCCAUAUAGCAAAGCGAACAAUAAGAGUAAGUCGGUAUGGUGAUCAAUCCAUCCCGCACCCAAAUCAUUACCUUGUACAUGGUUUAGCGAAUCUCGCAUUCUAACACUCGGUCAUCCUCACAAGCAUUGCAGAAUUUCUCUUGUCAACGAACUAGGUUCGGAUAAAUCCAUGGAUUCUGCAAGCCAAACAAACAUCUAUCGUUCCUUCACAACUCUCAGGUUUUGCGUUACUCCUAUAAAAUCGUCUGUCGAUAAAAUCGUAACUUCUUCCAGGGUCUUCCCUUCAACAAGAGUGUGCUUGCUUCUUGGCAGGUCCUGGGGCCUGCGGGUUAUGGCCCAUCUCAUCACUUGUAGUUCCUUGAACUUAUCAUCGGGCAACUGAUCCUUAAUCCAACAUCCAACUUCCUGGUAUUCUUAAAUCCAUCCAAUUGUACUGUCUUCCUUCCUUCUAUUGGCACCACUAGGACAUGAUUACUCAGGCUCAUCAUGGAAUUUCCAUUGAUCCAUAAUUCCAACAUCAUACCUCCUUUAUAUCCCAUAGUACUCUUCAUCCUCGUGGGAUAUCCCACAUACCGAGAUAAAAAAACACUUAUACUUAUGAAGUCCAUACUCCACUUCGUGGAACAUCAUUAUCCUUUCCAAGGUCAAGCGUCCUUACAGGGGAAUAUUGGCCAUCUCUGCAUGGCACUUCUUCAACUAGAAAACGUGAAACACAUCAUGAACUCAUGACAGUCCUUCGGGUGACUCCAACUUGUUGGCCACUUCUCCCAUACGUUCCAAAACUCGGUAUGGUCCUACAAUUCUCGGGGCUAACUUUCCCUUAACUCCAAAUAGUUUAACUCCUCGCAGGGGGCACACACGAAGACAUGCUCUGUCUCCAAUUUUAUAGACUACCUCCUUUACACCCAAUAAUACUCCAUACCCUCAUAUUCUUGGGGUAUCCAACAUAUCGAGAUAAAACUCAUACUUAUUUUGUUCUAAAUCCACUUCGUGGAAUAUCAUUACCUUUUUCCAAGGGUCAAGUUUCCUCACGGGGUACUACCACCUUUAAAAUGCAUAAUCUUCCAUAGACCAUAUUUCUCAUAUCCUUGAAAAUGGUCAAAAUCUUUCUUCAUAAAGUAACAACUCAUAAAAUCCAAAUCAGUAUCAAUGAUGCUAACUUUAUUGAUUCUCAAAUAUUACAAUCUCCUUCAUUCCAUUACAUGCCCCAAUCCGACACCUCACUAAUAAAAUAAAUGUCCACACUACUACUACUAUAUUUCUCGUUGCACUCAACCAUUUAUCACAAGUCUCCGUCUCCUUGGGGCAUUCUCUGGAAAGUGCCCUGCUUCAUCACAACGGAAACAUAUUACUUCUGACAUAUCUCCAGGUUUCCUUGUGAUUAUAUAGCCUCUUGGGGUCCUCAUCUUCCCUUUUGGGCAAUCAUUGUGGUAGUGUCCUGAAUUUUAGCACUUGAAACAUGUGAUAUGACUCAGGUCUCUCUUUGUAGAAAUUGGGUUGUUCCUGAGAUCCAAUCUACUUCUCUUCCUGGACUUUUCCGUUCCAAUCAGGGCUUCUAUUUCCUGUGGGUCAUACUCUACUUCCUCUGUCGGGAAUUCUACUAAAUCCCCAUUCAGACAAUUUUGGGAGAUGUGUCCUUCUUCUCCACAUGAAUAGCAUGACUUGGUGCAGGGUUUAAUUAGUUCUUCUUUGGGUGUGUCCUCCACCUCUUCCUUCAUCACAGAUUCCUCUAAAAUUUCCAUGAGGGCUCUUUUCAUUGCUUCUUUCUUCUGCUGGACGGUCCUUUGUACCAUGGGGUAGAUGUGACACUGAGCAGGGUAGUGGGUAGUCCCUUCACACAAGAAACAAGUGAUCUGCCUAGUUGGGCAUUCUUCAGCUGGGUGACUUCCUUCACAAUUAGGGCAUUCAUCCUUGUGUUCCUUAUGGUUGUGUCCUAUUUCUCCACAAGGCUUGUAUGCACAAGGUUUCUUCAUAUCCUUUCCAUAAGGCUUCAAUUUCUGGGACACAAGACGAGAUCUUUGUAGAGUCCACUUAAAUUCUUUCCAAGUGGUUACUCCUUGCCAUCCAUUGGUGGUUUGGUACAUCCUCCACCAAGUAGCAGCACCUCUUUCAAAACAUUCAAGAGCAUGCCAGGUCAUAUCCUUUCCGACUAUAGGGUUAUUCUUCAUGUGAUCCUCCAUGUUCUGAAUCCAUCGGUCCGUCUCCAAUUGACUCAUCGGUCCAGAAAAUACAAGCUCAUCUCCAUUCAUCCUCUAUUGGGUCCAUGGGUUUGGGGUGGGAUAAGAGAGGUCGAGAGGGAUGCACACAAUACAAACAAUAGUUUUGAAAAGACAGAUUUUUAUUGUGGCUGUCGGAAAAACAACAAACAAAUGACAGCUCCCAAACAUCGCAUCUAACGUAGGUAUAACAGGGAUUUGGUCUUCUAAAGGUCAAUAAAUCUUCAAAGUCACCAAACUCUUGAAGUCUUGUUAAUGCCUCCAAUGGCUUCUUCCGAUCAUGCUUGUCCUUCUCAAGUUCUUUUGCCAAAUCAUCUCUGUUGACGCGAAGUCUCUCGUGACGUCCUUUAUAUUUCUGGAGUUGCGUUCCAAACUUCUGGGUUUCAACAUCCUUGACAUGAACCAUGAUCCUACUGUCCUUCAGUUCCUGACGAAUCUUUGAUGUCUCAAGGUUUUGCUCCUCUAGCUUGGCUACUUUCAGCUUCUGCAUCCUGAGUUCUUCACGAAAUGCUUCCUUAUCAAUUUCCUGCAGGUCCAUCUUAACUUCUUGAUGUAAUACUCCAGAUCCUGGUGAUACACUGGUCUAAAGUUAAAACUUCAUCUUGCUGAUAGGUGCUCCAUCAGCCUUCUACCAUCCAAUCCUUCCAUGCAUCUGCAUGCUUAACUCCGCACGGUGACAAUAGCAUAAACGGGUAAUAACACCAUGGUCAUCCGUGUCUAUGCCCAUGUUACUGCCAUGAGCUUUCAUUCCAUAACUGAUAUCUCCUGUCUUUGGGUUUUCCUUCAAAACUUUGGAUUCUUAUGCUCCAUGUUCCGGUCUUUCUCCGAUACACCUUGAUCUCAUGCAUUGACGGCUUCCAUAGUCUGCCAACUUCCAUAAGGGUAGCCAUUCCUAGGUCAUAAAAAAUCUGGGAAUUCUUCAGAGCCUUCAAAAUCUCCUAGUCUUCUGAGUCUUCAACCGUUGUAGUUUCCAUUACUAUAUUGCAUGGUAAAAUCCUCUUCAUUCCAAAAUGAUCUUAGUUGUCCGAUAUCUUGUACUUCUUGAAGUGGUCUUAUCCGCUGAAUCUUCGUGUGGUCAAAAGGGAAAAGGGAUAUGGUCUCACUAAAGGGAAUAUUUGAAUUAACUCAGAAGAGAAGAGAGGUAAAAGAUCCUUUUGAAAAAGAAAGUUUUAGAGAAAAUCCUUCCUAUGGGCUUGCCAGUUUCUAGGGUCACGUCCUACAGUCAACAUGUGCUCUGAUACCAUCUUGUAGCGACCCGACCCGAAUGGAUCAAGUCUCUGUGCUUAAGUGUCAUCCCUGGAUCGGUAUGCUGACACACACAGUACUCGAGGAUUUAUAACAGAGGUAAAUCACAUGUAUAAAGUUACGUAAAUACUAUUACCUCAAUCCAAAUAGCGGAAGUAACAAGGUUGUGGAUUCCCAUCAACACCAACGACAAAGUUGAGUGUAGAAAUCGUAACCCUAGCGAAUCACUUACUCGUCGUAAGAUAUCCUGCAACAUGAAACGUUGCAGCCCGAAAACGGGUCAGUACAUUGAAUGUACUGGCAAAUUCACGCCAUAGAGAAAUGAUGAACAAAGGCUAUCACUACAUGCAUAUAUGGCUGGUGGAAAAGCUCUAUGGUUAUAAUGUUUUUGCGAAAAGCCAGUUUUUCCCUACUGCAAAGGAAUAAAUUUUAUUUAACUAUCAUGGUGGUUGUGAAACAUUGAGAUGGUUGACAGCAUCUCUAUCCCAAUUAAGUAUCAUCAUUAACCCAACAAUAUUAAUUAAAGUAACAUGAUGAGAUCAACGGGAUAAUCCAAGAACUAGAUACUCAAGAUGUCCAUAACCGGGGACACGGCUAAUCAUGAUUAGUUUAUACACUCUGCAGAGGUUUGUGCACUUUUCCCCACAAGACUCGAUCUCCUCCGUUGGAUUUCUCGCACUACAAGGUGUUUGAGAAACGGAUGACCGAGACACAGUCUUUCAGAAGCGUUAGCACCUUACGAUGGGUAGACCGGUACACCUACAUCCCCUACAUCUGCUAGUCUACCACUGUAAGAGUUCACACGACUUAAUCAACUAUGCUAGAGCCCAUAAUAGCUUGUGGCUGCACACGGAAGUUUCUAGCAUGAAUAAUCUCAUGAUCCCUUUGAACCUGGGUGGCGGUCCAAAAGAAAAACAGACAAUCCUGGAAUACCCAGGUACCUCAAUCCACCCAGAUGUGUGUUUAAGUUGCCACCUUAAGUAAACCAUUAAAUUAACAAUCUCACAUCUGUCAUGGAAAAUUCACUCAAACCCAAUCCACGUCUACGAGCAUAGCAUAGCAAUAUAAGAAAACGUAGAAGUAACUCCCAAGGGUUUGAUAGUAAACAGGGCAAUAGGUACUACCUCAUAUACUACUUCCCAAUACCCACAUGUUAUCAAUCCUACUCAUGCAAUGUUUGAGGGUUGAAUCUAAUGCAUAAAAACUGGGUAUGAAAGGGGUAUGAUCAAAGUGUGAACUUGCCUGCAAUGUUGAUGAAGAUGAUUCGCACUCAAAACUCUUGAUAGAUCUACUCGUCACACUCCGGUCAAUCUAUCGUAAGCAAGCAAUAGUAACCACACAUAAGCAAUCACUCAAAAGGUCGAAAAGAGCGAAGAGGAUAGUUCGGAAAACAUCAAACAAAGCAAAUAACUCUUGCGACAUAAAACAAUUUCUAACAGUACCAAAAUUAUGUAAAUUUGGCCUUAUCAGAAAGUUUAGGUCAAGAGCUUCGAAUUGCAAAAAGAAUCAACUCAAACGGAGUUAUAAAACUCAAGUUAUGAUCAAAAGAAGAUUCAAAUUCAAAUCUGUUUGAAAGCAAAUUUUAAAUUUUCAAAAACAUGUUUAAGUUGUUUUACUGGAUAGAGGGGAUCAUAACGAAGACGUGGGCGUUGGUUUCGUUGGAUUUGGACAAACGAGUAAAAAGAUGUGAAGGUUUGAAGUCCAGGGGCAAAAUUGUAAAUAAAACAUCUACAAAGAAGUCCCUGAAUAAAACUAACAGAAAAAAAUAAAAAACUAAAUAACGAACGUUCGCUACCGAACGCUAACGAACGAAAACGUUCGUCGAAACUAUCCAAACAGAAAACGUUCGCUAAAUAAUAAACAAAAACAAAAUCUAGGGUUUUUUUUGAAAACCGAAAAAUAAACCGAAUCGUACAGGGGCGGUUUUAUACCGUCGGUGGUUCGGCGGUUUUUGGCGACAAAACCGGCAGCGGUGUUGACUCCGGCGACGGUUGACGAGUGCGGCGGGCUCCGGCGCGGCAGCAGGUAGCAGCGGCGGUUCCAGGCGCGGGCGGCGGCGGCAGUGACGCGGGGCGGCGNNNNNNNNNNNNNNNNNNNNNNNNNNNNNNNNNNNNNNNNNNNNNNNNNNNNNNNNNNNNNNNNNNNNNNNNNNNNNNNNNNNNNNNNNNNNNNNNNNNCGGCGGCGGCGCGGCGAUCUGCGGCAGCGGCGCGGCAGGGGAGGAGGAGAGGAGGGGCGGCGGGGCUGCGGCUUUAUAGGAGGGCGGGGGCGGGCUCCGAGGCGUGGAGGAGGGGUUGGACGAGGAGUUCUCCUCGACCACGGCGGCGGCGGCGACGUACGCCGGCUGGAGUGCGAGCGGAGCUUGGGGACGAGCGCGAGCGCGCUGGGCUGGGCUGGCUUGGCCCGGUUGGCUGGGCCGGCCCAGUUCGGCGGUUUCCUUUUGUUUUUUUUUAAACAGAGGAAAAAAACGAAAAUAAAAUAAAAUAUUAUAUAGGCAUAUAAUAUUUCAAAAUCUUCAGAAAAAGAUUUUCUACAACGUGAACAUUUUUCCAACGCCAAAUAAAAUCCACACAAAUUUUAAUAAAUCAAACAGUGCUACUGCCUUAAUAAAAUCCAAUAAAAAUCAUUUUUAAAAAUACCAAAAUGAUUUCAAAUUUAUUUUUCUCCAAUUUUCUGAUGUAGGGAAUCAUGUUACCCUAUUUUCUGUAUAUUUUAUUUUUUGGAGAAAAAUAAUUUGAAUAAAACUCAAAUAAGUCCAAUAUUGGAAAAUAAUUUCAAUGGGACUUUGAAUUUAAUCCUUUGAAACUCCCAACUCCUAUUUCAUAUGUUUUGAAGAAGUCAUUUUAUCUUCUCUCGUGAAAACAUUGAGUUGCAUAAAGUUUCAGAAAUGGAAAAAUAUUUUCAAUUGAAAUUCAAAUAUUUUCAACACCCCCUUUCAUUUAAAUAAAUGGAAGAAGUCAUGUCAUCUUCUCUCGAGGAUUUUGUGAUGAAAAGAAUUUGAAUUCAUGGGAAUCAUAAAAGUAAAAUGAAAGUUUGGGAAAGUCCUUUUAUUCCCUCUCAUUUAACUUUCAAAAGAUUUCGAAUUCCACUCACUUUCAGUCAAUCAAUCAAACAAUCAAUCCAAUCUAUCUGUUUAUUAUAACAUUCCAAAAUUUAGAAUUUUGGGAUGUUACAAACGGCCUGGCUGGUGGGCGCACUGGAGAAGAGAGCUGCUACUGCAAGCUGGAGAGACGCUGGAUAGAAGAAUUUCAAGAUCGAUCUUAACUCGCGGGAACAAGCACGGACCUAAAAUCGAUGGAGCCGGGAUAUACCUCGGGUGCCGAGCGGAGCGACACCAUGGGGUGCUGCUGGAGUCGAUUGAGCCCGACAACGAACAGAGACGACGGGAGGACACGUUGACGGAGACGGAGCUCUGUCCGCGAAGCAGACGAAGCAGGGGAGGCCAUGGCGAGGAGGCAAACGUCGGCGGCGCUUGGACUUGGGCGAGGCUUCGGCUCAGCGGCGCAGGAACGGCAAGGAGGGACUUCGCAUCGGGGCGGCGCGCUGCAAGGUCGGGGACGCGAGCGUCCAUGGCGGCGAAGUGCACUGUUUGAG